RNAcentral lists this ribosomal RNA (402 nucleotides) under Streptomyces sp. Al.KA-6. RNAcentral describes it as "bacterial SSU rRNA". It matches the Rfam family "Bacterial small subunit ribosomal RNA", at positions 20 to 435 of the family's 1533-position model. The record is from RNAcentral. Lineage: Bacteria; Bacillati; Actinomycetota; Actinomycetes; Kitasatosporales; Streptomycetaceae.
UGGCUCAGGACGAACGCUGGCGGCGUGCUUGGUACAUGCAAGUCGGCUGAUGAAGCCUUUCGGGGUGGAUUAGUGGCGAACGGGUGAGUAACACGUGGGCAAUCUGUGCUUCACUCUGGGGCAAGCUCUGGAAACGGGGUCUAAUCUCGGAUAACUCUCUGUCUCGCAUGGGACUGGGUUAAAAGCUGCGGCGGUGAAGGAUGAGGCCGCGGCCUAUCAGCUUGUUGGUGGGGUAAUGGCCUCCAAGGCGACGUACGUGGUAGCCGGCCUGAGAGGGCGACCGGCCACACUGGGACUGAGACACGGGCCAGACUGCUACGGGAGGCAGCAUUGGGGAAUAUGCCAAGGGCGAAAGCCUGAGCAGCGCGCCGCGUGAGGAUCGGCCUCGGGUUGUAACCUCUU